ACCUGGCUGGCUCAGUUGGUAGAGCACAUGACUCUUGAUCUUGGGGUCAUGAGUUCAAGCCCCAUGCUAGGCG
This 73-nucleotide transfer RNA is filed under the name Felis catus (domestic cat). RNAcentral's name for it is "tRNA-Lys (CTT) (tRNA-Lys-CTT-29-1)". It matches the Rfam family "tRNA". Rfam says of the family: Transfer RNA (tRNA) molecules are approximately 80 nucleotides in length. Lineage: Eukaryota; Metazoa; Chordata; Mammalia; Carnivora; Felidae. The record is from Rfam by way of RNAcentral.